Molecule: ribosomal RNA, 173 nt
Filed under: uncultured bacterium
Lineage: Bacteria
Description: partial 16S ribosomal RNA
Rfam family: Bacterial small subunit ribosomal RNA
Source: RNAcentral
ACUCCUACGGGAGGCAGCAGUAGGGAAUCUUCCACAAUGGGCGAAAGCCUGAUGGAGCAACGCCGCGUGUGUGAUGAAGGCUUUCGGGUCGUAAAGCACUGUUGUAUGGGAAGAACAGCUAGAAUAGGAAAUGAUUUUAGUUUGACGGUACCAUACCAGAAAGGGACGGCUAA